AUUCCAGCUCCAAUAGCGUAUAUUUAGUUGUUGCGGUUAAAAAGCUCGUAGUUGGAUUUCGGGCGUGGAGGUUCGGUCCGCCGUUUCGGUGUGCACUGUCUUUCUGCGUCUUUCUGUCGGGGACGCGCUUCUGGCCUUAAUUGGCUGGGACGUGGAUUCGACGAGGUUACUUUGAAAAAAUUAGAGUGUUCAAAGCAAGCUAAAGCUCUGAAUACAUUAGCAUGGAAUAACGCGAGAGUACUCGGUCCUUAUUUUGUUGGUCUUCAAGGAUGGAGUAAUGAUUAAGAGGGACAGUUGGGGGCAUUCGUAUUUCAUUGCUAGAGGUGAAAUUCUUGGAUUUAUGAAAGACGAACUUCUGCGAAAGCAUUUGCCAAGGAUGUUUUCAUCG
Molecule: ribosomal RNA, 388 nt
Filed under: Pycnococcaceae sp.
Lineage: Eukaryota; Viridiplantae; Chlorophyta; Pseudoscourfieldiophyceae; Pseudoscourfieldiales; Pycnococcaceae
Description: partial small subunit ribosomal RNA
Rfam family: Eukaryotic small subunit ribosomal RNA
Source: RNAcentral